This 459-nucleotide ribosomal RNA is filed under the name uncultured bacterium. RNAcentral describes it as "partial 16S ribosomal RNA". It matches the Rfam family "Bacterial small subunit ribosomal RNA", at positions 338 to 795 of the family's 1533-position model. The record is from RNAcentral.
CCUACGGGAGGCAGCAGUGAGGAAUAUUGGUCAAUGGGCGGGAGCCUGAACCAGCCAAGUCGCGUGAGGGACGACUGUCCUAUGGAUUGUAAACCUCUUUUGUCGGGGAACAAAGGCGCCCACGGGUAGGCGGAUGAGUGUACCCGAAGAAAAAGCAUCGGCUAACUCCGUGCCAGCAGCCGCGGUAAUACGGAGGAUGCGAGCGUUAUCCGGAUUUAUUGGGUUUAAAGGGUGCGUAGGCGGACAGUCAAGUCAGCGGUAAAAUUGCGGUGCUCAACGCCGUACAGCAGUUGAAACUGGCAGCCUUGAGUGGGCGAGAAGUAUGCGGAAUGCGUGGUGUAGCGGUGAAAUGCAUAGAUAUCACGCAGAACUCCGAUUGCGAAGGCAGCAUACUGGCGCGCGACUGACGCUGAGGCACGAAAGCGUGGGUAUCGAACAGGAUUAGAUACCCGGGUAGUC